CUUUGUGUUGGUGUUUGAGCUUAUUGAUAGAUACUUGUUGGUGUUGAUGAAGUGGUUGAAUUCACAAUAGCAUGCUAGUUCUAGAUUAGUCAAGUCUCAAGGGGAUAUUGUCUUUGCUUUGAUUUUGUUUGGUCUUUAUUUGAUGAUGAUAUGUGAUGAUGAUUGUGGCAUUGAUAAAAUCCAUGAGGCUUUGUAUAUUUGGGGAGAUUAAGCAUGUUAUGGGGGAUUAUGAUAGACAAAGGAGGUUGGAUUUGUCAAGAGAGAUGGAAAGGGGGUG
Molecule: long non-coding RNA, 277 nt
Filed under: Salvia miltiorrhiza (redroot sage)
Lineage: Eukaryota; Viridiplantae; Streptophyta; Magnoliopsida; Lamiales; Lamiaceae
Description: long non-coding RNA (SMIL_LNC009923)
Source: RNAcentral